RNAcentral lists this long non-coding RNA (560 nucleotides) under Zonotrichia albicollis (white-throated sparrow). Its description in RNAcentral is "lncRNA (ENSZALG00000003866.1)". Lineage: Eukaryota; Metazoa; Chordata; Aves; Passeriformes; Passerellidae. The record is from RNAcentral.
UAAAAGCUUGCCUGCAUGAGACUCUGCUUUUGAAACUGUUUUUGUUACUCUGUAAAUGGACCCAAGAAAUCCAUAAACUGAAAAUUUCUGCAUCAAUCAAUUUCUGCACAGGAACUGUCCUGAUGUGAAAGAGCAUGCUUUGACUCCUUGGGGCAUGUGGUGAUUUCUGCUAAGGGAAUACCUGCGUUUGAGCAACUGAUCUGAGAGCACAGACCCUCCAAGGGUAAUUUUGCACUUCUCGACCACUGCCACUUGCUGAAAGCUCUGGAAUAGGGGUUGUUGGUCACCUGGGAAGUUACAGCAUAGUGGGACUGCUGCACAACAGCAACACAGGCUCCACCCCUUGGGCCUGAAUGGGUGAAGUUUAGGAAGCUCCUUGCAAAGGGCCCUAUCCACAGACGUAAAAAAAAGCACUGGGAAAGAGAUGUUUGAGACUGGAAAUGCCCCUGACUGUUGAAACAGAACUCUGAGAAGGUUGAUGGUGAUGGUGAUAAAAACACAGUCAAGGUUAGAUCUCUGGGCACUACUGCAGUGAAUUAUACAAACAAGAAUAAUAACCA